This 370-nucleotide unclassified non-coding RNA is filed under the name Rhizoplaca parilis. RNAcentral describes it as "partial 28S-18S ribosomal RNA intergenic spacer". The record is from RNAcentral. Lineage: Eukaryota; Fungi; Ascomycota; Lecanoromycetes; Lecanorales; Lecanoraceae.
AUGGCUAGCAUUAUCCUAACGACACUCGGGGGUCAACCGAAGCUCGUAGCCGUCUUCGUCGGACGUGACGGGUGGCUGGUAUCCUCCAUCCGAGGGGUGCAUGCCGCAGUGCGGGCCGGCCUUCCGGGUCGCGAAUCCCCGCUGUCUGUGGCGGACCGUCCCUUGGGAAACUCAGUGGGGGCAAUUGGAUGGGUCGCGGAUGGCCUCCGGCGGCUUCGGCCCUGGAGGUCUCCCGGCUCGGGCGCUGGGCUUCGGCUCGGCCCCUGACCUUCUAGCUAACCCUGACCCCCUGCCUCCGGGCAGGGUCCAGGGAAGCUCGGGCUUCGGCUCGCGCCUCCCGGUGAAGAUAGUUACCUGGUUGAUUCUGCCA